This 539-nucleotide long non-coding RNA is filed under the name Vigna radiata. RNAcentral describes it as "long non-coding RNA (VRAD_LNC018493)". Lineage: Eukaryota; Viridiplantae; Streptophyta; Magnoliopsida; Fabales; Fabaceae. The record is from RNAcentral.
AGCCUAAGCCCAGCAGACAACCGCUCAACACCUAAUCUAACCGCUCAGCGGUUUGCCUCUAAUCGUUCAACCGCUCAGCGCCCUAUUUGAUCGCUCAGCGGUUUGCCACCAAUCGUUCUGGGCGCUCAGCGGUUCGUUUUGGCGCUCAACGGUUCCUUUGGCUCUUCUUUUCAUCCUUUUUCUUCAUCUUUCACGAGCACAAGUCCCCCUUACUUCACUUCCAUCUUCAAAUCACCUCAAGACCCUGCAAAACAAUGUAAAACCAAGCAUAAUACCUUUAAAACCAACUUUUGACUCUCAAUGACUCAACUAAUUGUUUUACUUGAUUUUAAGCUCAUUCUAAGCCAUAAAGGUUGUGUUUUAAUAUCAAAUUUAAGCAUGAAAAUAACGGUUUUUAGACCGUUAUCACCUUUAUACACUUUUGAGUGCUUGAGUUAUACAUUUUUGAGUGUUUGAGUGUUAAACUGCUUUUUAGUCUCCUAAAGCAGAAGAAAAUUUGUCCCGACUAAUGUAGGAUAGGGAUGACCAAGAUAUCAAUC